GACGAACGCUGGCGGCGUGCUUAACACAUGCAAGUCGAACGGAAAGGCCCUGCUUUUGUGGGGUGCUCGAGUGGCGAACGGGUGAGUAACACGUGAGUAACCUGCCCUUGACUUUGGGAUAACUUCAGGAAACUGGGGCUAAUACCGGAUAGGAGCUCCUGCUGCAUGGUGGGGGUUGGAAAGUUUCGGCGGUUGGGGAUGGACUCGCGGCUUAUCAGCUUGUUGGUGGGGUAGUGGCUUACCAAGGCUUUGACGGGUAGCCGGCCUGAGAGGGUGACCGGCCACAUUGGGACUGAGAUACGGCCCAGACUCCUACGGGAGGCAGCAGUGGGGAAUAUUGCACAAUGGGCGGAAGCCUGAUGCAGCAACGCCGCGUGCGGGAUGACGGCCUUCGGGUUGUAAACCGCUUUCGCCUGUGACGAAUCGUGAGUGACGGUAAUGGGUAAAGAAGCACCGGCUAACUACGUGCCAGCAGCCGCGGUGAUACGUAGGGUGCGAGCGUUGUCCGGAUUUAUUGGGCGUAAAGGGCUCGUAGGUGGUUGAUCGCGUCGGAAGUGUAAUCUUGGGGCUUAACCCUGAGCGUGCUUUCGAUACGGGUUGACUUGAGGAAGGUAGGGGAGAAUGGAAUUCCUGGUGGAGCGGUGGAAUGCGCAGAUAUCAGGAGGAACACCAGUGGCGAAGGCGGUUCUCUGGGCCUUUCCUGACGCUGAGGAGCGAAAGCGUGGGGAGCGAACAGGCUUAGAUACCCUGGUAGUCCACGCUGUAAACGGUGGGUACUAGGUGUGGGGUCCAUUCCACGGGUUCCGUGCCGUAGCUAACGCUUUAAGUACCCCGCCUGGGGAGUACGGCCGCAAGGCUAAAACUCAAAGGAAUUGACGGGGCCCCGCACAAGCGGCGGAGCAUGCGGAUUAAUUCGAUGCAACGCGUAGAACCUUACCUGGGUUUGACAUGGAUCGGGAGUGCUCAGAGAUGGGUGUGCCUCUUUUGGGGUCGGUUCACAGGUGGUGCAUGCCUGUCGUCAGCUCGUGUCGUGAGAUGUUGGGUUAAGUCCCGCAACGAGCGCAACCCUUGUUCACUGUUGCCAGCACGUUAUGGUGGGGACUCAGUGGAGACCGCCGGGGUCAACUCGGAGGAAGGUGGGGAUGACGUCAAGUCCUCAUGCCCCUUAUGUCCAGGGCUUCACGCAUGCUACAAUGGCUGGUACAGAGAGUGGCGAGCCUGUGAGGGUGAGCGAAUCUCGGAAAGCCGGUCUCAGUUCGGAUUGGGGUCUGCAACUCGACCUCAUGAAGUCGGAGUCGCUAGUAAUCGCAGAUCAGCAACGCUGCGGUGAAUACGUUCCCGGGGCU
Molecule: ribosomal RNA, 1346 nt
Filed under: uncultured bacterium
Lineage: Bacteria
Description: bacterial SSU rRNA
Rfam family: Bacterial small subunit ribosomal RNA
Source: RNAcentral